CUACUUAUUCUUCCAGCACGAACUUUUUUUUUUGGUAAAUCCAGAAUGUUUGUGGUCCUCUUGAAGGUGAUAUCUAAAGAUGAAAAAGAAGUCAAGAGCCUGGAGGUGUCUUAGGGUCUGUCUGUCGGCAUGUGGAAAUCUAUCGGCAUCCUCCUUCCAUUUGGUCAAACUCCAAGGAGCAAGUGUUCAGGUGGGACAUGUGGAAGAUGACUGGAUCACGGGGGCACUCUACUCACUGGUGGACUAAUCCAUUGAUGAGUUCAUAACUGACUGUGCUGUUAAGAAGUGGAGCAUGGCAGAGAGAGCAGAAGACAGCACAUGGAAGGAGCAUGGUGCAGAGAUCUCUCUGGAAAAGAUGGCUCUGAGGAAUGCCACUAAGUCCUGCUGCUCAGCCAACAUCAGUGGUGAGUCAAGAUCUGAAGACUGGCCAUCAAGAGGGCUUGUCCAUGAGCAGAAGAUAUCACAGGAAGUGCAGGGCUGGUGAUGCUAUGCAGAAGGUGUCUCCUGUCCCAUGAAUAAUAACAAGAUCCAUGAUCCAUGAAAGGAUUAAGAAAGUGGGCAAAGGAGAGUGCUGCAACGGGGGAGCUGAGGAAGAGAACCUUAUAACUCACUAUGGAUCCAUGAGCACCGAUUUCCUUACUUCUACCAAGAUAUGAGCUGCUCUCUUCUCUGUCUACAGAGAGUGACUUUGUGUGAAAUCACCUUUAGAGUACGGUCCCUCCUGAUUCAUCUGACCCUGGUCAGUUCUGUUCCUAGCUCUCCAAAUUCUUCUCCCUAAGACGUGAUGAAGAAACAUUUGCUGAGCAAAUUAAAGAAUCAAGAGUGCAUGUUAAAACUCACACACCCAGAACCUACAGUCCAGGGUCAGUCUGUGGGCAGCCUAUGAGGCACACAUCACAGGACAGAAGGACCUUCAUCUUUACCUCCAAGAUCAGCUCUGGCACCUUCCUCAGUAUUUGCCCCAAGAGUCUCAUCAGGCUGAGCCGGAUGCACAAGAACAACCUUGCUCUGGGUCCGUGCUCAGAACUCCACCCUCAGGCAAAAACCCCAGGACAUGGCCCCCGGGACAGGGCAGAUGGCAGGGUCCCUUCCUCCUGAGAGCACUCAAGCCUGCCUCCCAAGAACUGGUUUUUAUUUUAUUGAUCUCAGUAACUAAGCUGUGAGAACUUCAAAGCCACUCAGUGGGUUGUAAGGAAAUGUAGUAGCCGGAGCCUUUUCACACAGGGGUGUUUGCAAAUGUUUUAUUUCCCAGAAGGCAAUCCACCUAGAAGGUACUAAAAAAUAAGUUUUUGUUUCCUUUGACAUGUCAUUUCUCUAAGCAGUCUUCUUAACUCACUGCUCCCCUGACCCCCUCGGUAGCAAAUACAAUUCAUUUCUCAUGCAGCCUGACAAAAAAGAUGCUUGGUAUAUGGCACUGCAUAUCUUGACUUCAUUAUUCCCUCAUAGCAAAGACUUGAAACUGCAAUGUGUGAGAAGGAAAAGGUGCCAACAUGACAUUUACUACCGCUAAUAUGAAUCUGAUUAAUUCUACAACAAGAAACAUCCUCUUAACUCUUUGCAUUCUACAAGGAGUGAGCCGAUGGGAAGGAAAGAAGCAAAAGCGGAUACUUUUACUGGAAUCGCCCAGACUAUGGAAUUCUUAGGGGAGGAAAUGAUAUGGGAAACAUUUCCUUUCACAGUGUGUCUACAAAUGCUUGGGUAGGAAGGGGAUCCUUUUCUGCCACCUGAGGCAGAGGGAGCUCAGCUUCCGGGUAGGACACAGGCCAAGGUGAGAGUCGAGGCCACUAAGACCCCUCUUACUGCUUGCUGAGGAGCAGGAAUGUGGUUUUAUUUUUAUUUUAUCGACUCCCUGCAAAUGUUCUUCAUCGUCCUGUGGCCUCAGGGUGUGUGUUCAAAAAUGAUUCUACAUUUCAGCAAUUCUGUACUUGAAAUUGCUAUUAAAAAGAAAAUGCCAGAAGAUACCCUACAGUCUUCACUAAGGGCCUGCUACACUAUGGAAAUGUACCCCAAAUCCUGACCUUACCAUUAAUUGAAAACAAACAAACAAACAAACAAAGACUA
This is a long non-coding RNA of Heterocephalus glaber (naked mole-rat), 2061 nucleotides long. RefSeq lists it as uncharacterized. Lineage: Eukaryota; Metazoa; Chordata; Mammalia; Rodentia; Bathyergidae. The record is from RefSeq and is a predicted model, not a curated record.